UUGCCAUGNGCGAAACCUGAUGCAGCUUCCCCGCGUGAGGGAUGACGGCCUUCGGGUUGUAAACCUCUUUCAGUAGGGAAGAAGCGAAAGUGACGGUACCUGCAGAAGAAGCGCCGGCUAACUACGUGCCAGCAGCCGCGGUAAUACGUAGGGCGCAAGCGUUAUCCGGAUUUAUUGGGCGUAAAGAGCUCGUAGGCGGUUUGUCGCGUCUGCCGUGAAAGUCCGAGGCUCAACCUCGGAUCUGCGGUGGGUACGGGCAGACUAGAGUGAUGUAGGGGAGACUGGAAUUCCUGGUGUAGCGGUGAAAUGCGCAGAUAUCAGGAGGAACACCGAUGGCGAAGGCAGGUCUCUGGGCAUCUACUGACGCUGAGGAGCGAAAGCAUGGGGAGCGAACAGGAUUAGAUACCCUGGUAGUCCAUGCCGUAAACGUUGGGCACUAGGUGUGGGGAACAUUCCACGUUUUCCGCGCCGUAGCUAACGCAUUAAGUGCCCCGCCUGGGGAGUACGGCCGCAAGGCUAAAACUCAAAGGAAUUGACGGGGGCCCGCACAAGCGGCGGAGCAUGCGGAUUAAUUCGAUGCAACGCGAAGAACCUUACCAAGGCUUGACAUGUUCCAGACCGCCUCAGAGAUGGGGUUUCCCUUCGGGGCUGGUUCACAGGUGGUGCAUGGUUGUCGUCAGCUCGUGUCGUGAGAUGUUGGGUUAAGUCCCGCAACGAGCGCAACCCUCGUUCCAUGUUGCCAGG
RNAcentral lists this ribosomal RNA (744 nucleotides) under Arthrobacter sp. YACS24. RNAcentral describes it as "bacterial SSU rRNA". It matches the Rfam family "Bacterial small subunit ribosomal RNA", at positions 364 to 1122 of the family's 1533-position model. The record is from RNAcentral. Lineage: Bacteria; Bacillati; Actinomycetota; Actinomycetes; Micrococcales; Micrococcaceae.